GUCUUCGGACCAAAGUGGGGGACCUUCGGGCCUCACGCCAUCGGAUGUGCCCAGAUGGGAUUAGCUAGUAGGUGGGGUAAUGGCUCACCUAGGCGACGAUCCCUAGCUGGUCUGAGAGGAUGACCAGCCACACUGGAACUGAGACACGGUCCAGACUCCUACGGGAGGCAGCAGUGGGGAAUAUUGCACAAUGG
This 194-nucleotide ribosomal RNA is filed under the name Yersinia enterocolitica. RNAcentral describes it as "partial 16S ribosomal RNA". It matches the Rfam family "Bacterial small subunit ribosomal RNA", at positions 192 to 374 of the family's 1533-position model. The record is from RNAcentral. Lineage: Bacteria; Pseudomonadati; Pseudomonadota; Gammaproteobacteria; Enterobacterales; Yersiniaceae.